GCGAGCGCUCCGGGCCUCCUCCCGACCCUGAACCGUCUCGCGGGGCCCCAGCCCCUCUGCCCGCCCGUUACCCCGGGACCUCGGGCGCCAGCCCCUUCCCCGUGCAGGCUCUCACUGGGGCUUUUCGUGUGUCCCCCGAGAUUUCGGGAGAGCCAGGUGAGUUCCUGGAGACAGGUGGUGCCCUUUGCAGGAGGGAACAGGUGGCUGAGACCCGGCCCAGGGGACACAGGUGAGACCUUCUCACUGGGCUGCCCGCGUGGGGCCUCCCAGGACGUCAGCGGCUGCGGCUUUGCCUCCUGACACCUGAGACCAGAGACAGAGAGGCCCGCACCCUGGGAGGUCCUGACGUCCAGUCUGAAGGUUGAGGGCGAGGCCACCACCUUUCACAAAAUGAGGCCAGACCACCUGCCUCCCUGCAGUCCCUGCGGCCUGGAGACAGGUCGGGGCCUUUGAUCCCCAUCACUGGAAGCCCCCCAGGCUGCGGUGCACAGGGACCAUGAAGAACCAGUCCCCGUGGCCCCAUGUCCGCCUGUCUCGACCUGUCCCAUCCUUGCUGAAACUCAAGAAGGUAAAACAGGUGAAUGCGGGCAUUAGCAGACCAAGGCUCUGGUGUGGGCACCGCAGCCUAAGUGAGACAGAAGGCUCAGCCGGCAUCUGGGUCACUGCAGAAGAGGAAAGCAGCCCCCGAGAGCCCUGCAGUGGCACCCACCAGUCUCCAUCCCCGUCUCUCCGCUCCACCCCUCAGCUCCCGUGGUGCACUGGAGGUCAGGUCGGGGAGGCAGGUGUCCAUUCCUGAAGUUACACAGCAGGGCCUGGGGCAGGAGAUGCAGUCAGCCAUCUGCACUAACCAUCAAUCACUAACGAGGGACAGGCAGUCGGAGCUGCCCAGUUUCUGAGUUACAGAAGCGGGUGGGGAGGGGUGCCCCAGACUGGUAAAAAUGACCUUGUUGGCAGAAUCACUCAUGGUUUUUCUGUUGAUGAACAGAGCCCAACUCACCCACAGGUGACUGUGGUCCUUGUGCUCCUUCCUCCUGGGGAGUCCUGCCCUUGCUGACCAGGGGCACCUGCCCACCUGUCAGCUGCUCCUCCCCCCGGCUGGUUCCCCUGGGUUCUGAUGGCCCCAACAUUUCUAGCUCUUCUCAUCCAUGGUGCCCCAAGCUUCAUGCAGCUGCAGCAGCCGCAGCCCCAACAAACUGACAAAGGAAGAGGACAGCGGUGCCCUGGAGCCCCUGGGACAGAGAGAGGAGGGCGAAACAGGGGUGGAGCCCAGCGAAUGACACCACCCCUUCUGAGAAGACACGGACAGGACAUCCUGCAGCCAGGGCCCAGGUUCUGAGCUAGAAAACUGUCAGCAGGGGCUGAAGCCAAGGACAGUCAUUGCCAAGGAACAGCCUGCGUCACAGAGGAGACGCUUGCACAGAUGCAGUGACCAGGGAAGGAUGAGGGCUGGUGACCACGGGGAGCAGACGUCUGUAGUAGGAGGAAUGCCUGGAGC
Saimiri boliviensis boliviensis (Bolivian squirrel monkey) is the source of this 1495-nucleotide non-coding RNA. The record is from RefSeq and is a predicted model, not a curated record. Lineage: Eukaryota; Metazoa; Chordata; Mammalia; Primates; Cebidae.